AACCUAGCACACCUGCGGUGUGUACCUGCGGAAGGAUCAUUAUAGAGUUUCCAAAACUCCAAUACCACUGUGAACCUACCCUCAGCCGUUGCUUCGGCGGGCCGGCCCCCGAGCCGCCCGGGCCCCUCCGGGGGCGCCCGCCGGAGGUACCCAAACCACUGUCCCUGUGUGGCCUCUCUGAGUAACUGUACCGAAUAAGUCAAAAACUUUCAACAACGGAUCUCAGAUCGGAAGAGCACA
This 240-nucleotide unclassified non-coding RNA is filed under the name soil metagenome. Its description in RNAcentral is "partial contains 5.8S ribosomal RNA, internal transcribed spacer 2, and large subunit ribosomal RNA". The record is from RNAcentral.